This 253-nucleotide ribosomal RNA is filed under the name uncultured bacterium. Its description in RNAcentral is "partial 16S ribosomal RNA". It matches the Rfam family "Bacterial small subunit ribosomal RNA", at positions 524 to 776 of the family's 1533-position model. The record is from RNAcentral.
UACAGAGGUCUCAAGCGUUGUUCGGAUUCAUUGGGCGUAAAGGGUGCGCAGGUGGCGAGGCAAGUCGGAUGUGAAAUCCCGGGGCUCAACCCCGGAACUGCAUUCGAUACUGCCUUGCUAGAGUGCUGGAGAGGAGAUUGGAAUUUACGGUGUAGCAGUGAAAUGCGUAGAUAUCUGGAGGAACACCGGUGGCGAAGGCGGCAUCCUGGACCGACACUGACGCUGAGGAGCGAAAGCCAGGGGAGCAAACGGG